Molecule: ribosomal RNA, 465 nt
Filed under: uncultured bacterium
Lineage: Bacteria
Description: partial 16S ribosomal RNA
Rfam family: Bacterial small subunit ribosomal RNA
Source: RNAcentral
CCUACGGGUGGCAGCAGUAGGGAAUCUUCCACAAUGGACGAAAGUCUGAUGGAGCAACGCCGCGUGAGUGAAGAAGGGUCUCGGCUCGUAAAGCUCUGUUGGUAGUGAAGAAAGAUAGAGGUAGUAACUUGUCUUUAUUUGACGGUAAUAAUUUAGAAAGUCACGGCUAAUUACGUCCCAGCAGCCGCGGUAAUACGUAGGUGGCAAGCGUUGUCCGGAUUGAUUGGGCGUAAAGCGAGUGCAGGCGGUUCAAUAAGUCUGAUGUGAAAGCCUUCGGCUCAACCGGAGAAUUGCAUCAGAAACUGGUGAGCUUGAGUGCAGAAGAGGAGAGUGGAACGCCAUGUGUAGCGGUGGAAUGCGUAGAUAUAAGGAAGAACCCCAGUGGCGAAGGCGGCUCUCUGGGCUGCAACUGACGCUGAGGCUCGAAAGCAUGGGUAGCGAACAGGAUUAGAUACCCCUGUAGUC